RNAcentral lists this ribosomal RNA (468 nucleotides) under uncultured bacterium. RNAcentral describes it as "partial 16S ribosomal RNA". It matches the Rfam family "Bacterial small subunit ribosomal RNA", at positions 28 to 507 of the family's 1533-position model. The record is from RNAcentral.
GACGAACGCUGGCGGCGUGCUUAACACAUGCAAGUCGAACGGAAAGGCCCUGCUUUUGUGGGGUGCUCGAGUGGCGAACGGGUGAGUAACACGUGAGUAACCUGCCCUUGACUUUGGGAUAACUUCAGGAAACUGGGGCUAAUACCGGAUAGGAGCUCCUGCUGCAUGGUGGGGGUUGGAAAGUUUCGGCGGUUGGGGAUGGACUCGCGGCUUAUCAGCUUGUUAGUGAGGUAGUGGCUUACCAAGGCUUUGACGGGUAGCCGGCCUGAGAGGGUGACCGGCCACAUUGGGACUGAGCUACGGCCCAGACUCCUACGGGAGGCAGCAGUGGGGAAUAUUGCACAAUGGGCGGAAGCCUGAUGCAGCAACGCCGCGUGCGGGAUGACGGCCUUCGGGUUGUAAACCGCUUUCGCCUGUGACGAAGCGUGAGUGACGGUAAUGGGUAAAGAAGCACCGGCUAACUACGUG